This 854-nucleotide ribosomal RNA is filed under the name Exserohilum prolatum. RNAcentral describes it as "partial 28S ribosomal RNA". It matches the Rfam family "Eukaryotic large subunit ribosomal RNA", at positions 65 to 937 of the family's 3401-position model. The record is from RNAcentral. Lineage: Eukaryota; Fungi; Ascomycota; Dothideomycetes; Pleosporales; Pleosporaceae.
CCAACAGGGAUUGCCCUAGUAACGGCGAGUGAAGCGGCAACAGCUCAAAUUUGAAAUCUGGCUCUUUCAGAGUCCGAGUUGUAAUUUGCAGAGGGCGCUUUGGCUUUGGCAGCGGUCCAAGUUCCUUGGAACAGGACGUCACAGAGGGUGAGAAUCCCGUACGUGGUCGCUAGCUAUUGCCGUGUAAAGCCCCUUCGACGAGUCGAGUUGUUUGGGAAUGCAGCUCUAAAUGGGAGGUAAAUUUCUUCUAAAGCUAAAUAUUGGCCAGAGACCGAUAGCGCACAAGUAGAGUGAUCGAAAGAUGAAAAGCACUUUGGAAAGAGAGUCAAACAGCACGUGAAAUUGUUGAAAGGGAAGCGCUUGCAGCCAGACUUGCUUGCAGUUGCUCAUCCGGGCUUUUGCCCGGUGCACUCUUCUGCAGGCAGGCCAGCAUCAGUUUGGGCGGUGGGAUAAAGGUCUCUGUCAUGUACCUCUCUUCGGGGAGGCCUUAUAGGGGAGGCGACAUACCACCAGCCUAGACUGAGGUCCGCGCAUCUGCUAGGAUGCUGGCGUAAUGGCUGUAAGCGGCCCGUCUUGAAACACGGACCAAGGAGUCUAACAUCUAUGCGAGUGUUUGGGUGUCAAGCCCGAGCGCGUAAUGAAAGUGAACGGAGGUGGGAACCCGCAAGGGUGCACCAUCGACCGAUCCUGAAGUUUACGGAAGGAUUUGAGUAAGAGCAUGGCUGUUGGGACCCGAAAGAUGGUGAACUAUGCUUGAAUAGGGUGAAGCCAGAGGAAACUCUGGUGGAGGCUCGCAGCGGUUCUGACGUGCAAAUCGAUCGUCAAAUUUGGGCAUAGGGGCGAAAGACUAAUCG